Molecule: RNA transcript, 3184 nt
Organism: Rosa rugosa (rugosa rose)
Lineage: Eukaryota; Viridiplantae; Streptophyta; Magnoliopsida; Rosales; Rosaceae
Gene name: proline-rich receptor-like protein kinase PERK3
Exons: 5
Source: RefSeq, a predicted model, not a curated record
UAGUUGGCGUCGACAUCCUUUUGCCGUCGCUAAAAAUGGGCUUUUCUCUUCGGCAAAGUUACGCCGUUGCAAAACUUGCGACUGAGUUACUAUGCCGUGGCAAUGGCGUAGCCAAUCUUUAAUAUUUUUCUUCGGCGAAACGUUUGCAGUCGCAAACUUUCAAUACUUGGCGACUGCGUCUACAAUGCUAUCGCACGAGAGAACAACUAUGAGCCCAAUUCUCUUAUUAAAUCUAUUUUCUAAUAAAAAAGCCCUAGCCUAUUUCCCUCAAUCUCUGUUCGAUCUCUACCGCAACCCUCUUUCUCUUUCUCUUCGUUCUCGAUCUAACUCAACAAAUUGAGCAUCGCAGAACUUGGUGGCAACUGUGUUGAUCUAGAUCUAGGGCUUCUUGUUUUUGGGUAUUUCAAUUUGGCUCUCUUCAGUCAUACCUCUUCCUCUCUCGUUGAAUCUGAUUCAACUCAGACGCUUCCAGAUCAAUGGCGUGGUUAUUCGAGUGAGUAUCGUUCUGUUCGAGCGGAAUUGUGCUGAAUUUCGAUUCAACUCAGAUGCUUUCUCUUCUCUAUUCUCGGAAAGUUUGCGUCUUGGGCAUUCCCAGAAGCAUGGAGAUCACUUGCAACAAGCACAUUCAAUGUGAUGAAUUAUGGCGCUGUUGCGAAUGGCCAAGUUGAUGAUACACAAGUAUUUAUGACAUAAAAACAGGCUCAAUGUUUAAGUCUAUAACUGGAGAAAGCAAAGGCUCUAAGACAUGUCAAAGUCAUCUUCUGCAGCCAUAGUUGGAGGUGCUGUUGGGGCACUUGCCUUGGCGGCAAUAAUCGUCGGAUUCAUGUCGUUCUGCAAGGCACAAUGUAAUAAGCAUUUCCCCAACAAGGAUUCAAAGACUGGUUCUUCGGAUCCAUCUGCAAUAGUUGAGCUGACUAGAGGUGGACCUAGUUCAACAAGGCACUUCACAAUGGAGGAGUUAGAGCAAGCUACCAAGCAUUUUGAUGAAAGCAGUCUUCUGGGAUAUGGAAGUUUUGGACUUGUUUAUAAAGGUUUGCUCCGUGAUGGGAUGGUUGUGGCUAUCAAAAGGCGCCCCGGUGCUCCUAGACAAGAAUUUGUCUCAGAGGUAUAACUAAAUGGGGACAUAUCAUAGUGUUCUACACUCUAUACUUCUGUGCAUUACAUUUUGUAGCUCCUAGUUACUUAAUGAACCAUGUUCUAUGCCUAAACUAGAUAUGGUGUUAAGGAUCAGUUUCUUUUCAUUUUGCAUAAUGAACAACUGUGCAUAACAAAAACAACUAUGUAAGAGCUUAAUUAUGUGGUAGCAGGUAAUGUACUUGUCGCAGAUUCAUCACUGAAUCUUAGUUAAAAUACUGAGUUACUGCCACGAAAGUCAAAUGUUGGUUUUUGAAUAUUUACCAAAUGGAAGCAUGUGCAAUCACCUAUAUGGUAUACCUCCUUUUACUGAUCAUACUGGUUUUUAAAUACUAUUGAUGCAUAUAUACUUACGCAAGUUACACAUAUAUGCCAUUCAUUUUCUGGCAGAUACUAAACAGGAUCCAUCAACUAAACUAGAGUUUAAGCAAAGGUGAUGAUCUGUCACUUCUUAAGAGGUAGUACCUUGAAGCAUCAAUUCAAGCUUGGUGAGCAACUUCUGUUUCUUACUAGUGUUUGCACCUGUUUUUUGCACGUCGACCUACUAAGCUUUCACUGUUGGAUGAGAGAGAAUUUUGGCUGAGAUUAAGUUAGGGCCAAGAAUGAAGUCACUCAAUCAUUCGGCUGAGAAUGAAAUUAAUUGGCCAUUCAGCUGAGAUGAGGAAAUUAGUCAAAUAAGCAUUAGGCCGAUCGAGAAUAUAUAAUUUAGGUCAAACGGCCGAAAUGAAGGUGUUGACCGAAAUCAGAGUUUCUCGGUCACUCGAUCGAGAUUAUAGUUUUGAGUCGUAUGACUGGGCGUUGUUCGGUCACUCGAUCGAGAUUAGAGUUUUGAGUCUGAGAUAAAGACAUCAUUCAAUCACUCGGCCGAGGUUUGAGAUUUUGGGUCGAACAACCCAAAAGAUGAUGAAAGUGGAUCACACGGUUACAUGGUUGGAAAAUCCAAGUUCAAAUAAGUGACUAUGCGGAUGGGCCGAGAAGGAGCUUAGAUAUGCUCGGCCCAAGCCCAACUGACAAACAUCGGUCAAGGAAUCCGUUUAAGGAAGGAAUCCUCACAAGGAAAGAGUUUAAAUCAAUUUAGAAUUUCAAUUGUGAAGAUUCCAGAUAUCAGCCGAAUCAUAACAUUUAUGGAUGAAUCAACCCAAAAAAGGAAGAUGAAUCCUACUUGAAUUCCACGUUUUAGAGAACAAGUUAGCCUAGGUUUUGAUCUGUAUAUAUAGGAGCUUCAAACUCAUUGUAAAAGGUCCUGCAUCACACAAACAAAUCAAUAUACAACUUUUACUCUUAAACUUUUCUCUUGCUAUCUCAUAGGUACUUUACCUUCGAUUCAACUUUCAUAACUUGUUUUCAUUUCUAGUUUCUUAGUUUCAAUUCAAUUCUUUACAUUCAAGCACUUUACUUUCUUGUUUAUUUACUUUAUAUGCACUUUACUUUUCGCACUUAGGAGUAGUUCGUAACAUAGAAUUAUCAGCCAUUGAUCUCUUUCGGCCAGUCCGGAUUGGGUCGAUGCGAUUCGUUGUUCACACACACAUAUUCUCACAAUGCUUUGACAGCCGAGUCCAUUUCACUUUCGUCUUCACCGUGAUCUGCGAGUACCUUCACCCGAUAGAUCUCUCGCUUGUCACCCGAACAUUUGAGUUUACCCAAGAAGUGAACGUGAUAGUAGAUCCCGGUCAGGAUUGACGCCCGACCGAAGUCCUUGCAACAGAGGCAUUAGAACCCAACGGCCGAUAGGGUUCCUUCCUCGGCCUUCAAUCAUUUGAUAAGAAGUCAGAUACAAGCGCAAAUUAGAUCUGAACCUCGUUCGGCCAUUCGGCCGCGAGUUGGCACGCCCGCGCAAUUUCAGAAGGACAAUUCAACCACAGGUCCCUCGGCCCUCAUUUCGGCCGAGACGAUUUUGAGGCAAACAACUAGUCAGGCUUGGUGAGCAGCUUCUAUUUCAAUGUUGAAGUAGAGGAAGAUAAGCACCUUGUAAAGCUUAAUUAUCUUGUAAACUUUCAUAGAAGCUUCAUUCCUUUUGUAACAUUCGUGAGAAAAAUUAAAAUGUUACAUU